CGUGUAGGCGGCUCAUCAAGUCUGGUGUGAAAACGCAAGGCUUAACCUUGCGUAUGCGCUGGAAACUGGUGGGCUUGAGUUCCUGAGGGGAAGCUGGAAUUCCAGGUGUAGGGGUGAAAUCUGUAGAUAUCUGGAAGAACACCGGUGGCGAAGGCGAGCUUCUAUCAGAGGACUGACGCUGAGGCGCGAAAGCGUGGGGAGCAAACAGGAUUAGAUACCCUGGUAGUCCACGCUGUAAACGAUGUGCACUAGGCGUGGGGCCCGUACGGGUUCUGUGCCGUAGUUAACGUGUUAAGUGCACCCGCCUGGGGAGUAUGCUCGCAAGGGUGAA
This 331-nucleotide ribosomal RNA is filed under the name uncultured bacterium. RNAcentral's name for it is "bacterial SSU rRNA". It matches the Rfam family "Bacterial small subunit ribosomal RNA", at positions 568 to 898 of the family's 1533-position model. The record is from RNAcentral.